This is a long non-coding RNA of Melozone crissalis (California towhee), 227 nucleotides long. RefSeq lists it as uncharacterized. The transcript is spliced from 3 exons. The record is from RefSeq and is a predicted model, not a curated record. NCBI's taxonomy places the organism in Eukaryota, Metazoa, Chordata, Aves, Passeriformes, Passerellidae.
GCCGGGGGGGGAGGGGCGGCUCCUCAGCCCCCAGGACCCCGCCCUGGCCCAGGCGCGCCGCGUGCGCUCCCUGCUGUCGGCGCUCUCUCUGCGCGCGGCCGAGCUGGAGCGGCUGCAGGAGAGAGCCCUGGGAACGCCCCUCCCCCCCCCAGAGCUGCAGGAGGAGCUGCAGCGGCUCCGGGACGAGAUCCAGGACCUGACCCGGGAGAUCCAGGGGGGGCUCCGAG